CAGUCGCCGCGGUAAUACAGAGGGUGCGAGCGUUAAUCGGAUUUACUGGGCGUAAAGCGUGCGUAGGCGGCUAAUUGAGUCGGAUGUGAAAUCCCCGAGCUUAACUUGGGAAUUGCAUUCGAUACUGGUUAGCUAGAGUGUGGGAGAGGAUGGUAGAAUUCCAGGUGUAGCGGUGAAAUGCGUAGAGAUCUGGAGGAAUACCGAUGGCGAAGGCAGCCAUCUGGCCUAAUACUGACGCUGAGGUACGAAAGCAUGGGGAGCAAACAGGAUUAGAUACCCCUGUAGUCCCUGUCCUUAUACA
This 301-nucleotide ribosomal RNA is filed under the name uncultured bacterium. RNAcentral describes it as "partial 16S ribosomal RNA". It matches the Rfam family "Bacterial small subunit ribosomal RNA", at positions 509 to 809 of the family's 1533-position model. The record is from RNAcentral.